UCAAAGUGUUUGUUGGCCU
RNAcentral lists this non-coding RNA (19 nucleotides) under Arabidopsis thaliana (thale cress). The record is from RNAcentral. Lineage: Eukaryota; Viridiplantae; Streptophyta; Magnoliopsida; Brassicales; Brassicaceae.